GGGUUGUGAGGUUAAGCGACUAAGCGUACACGGUGGAUGCCCUGGCAGUCAGAGGCGAUGAAGGACGUGCUAAUCUGCGAAAAGCGUCGGUAAGGUGAUAUGAACCGUUAUAACCGGCGAUGUCCGAAUGGGGAAACCCAGUGCAAUUCGUUGCACUAUCGUUAACUGAAUACAUAGGUUAACGAGGCGAACCGGGGGAACUGAAACAUCUAAGUACCCCGAGGAAAAGAAAUCAACCGAGAUUCCCCCAGUAGCGGCGAGCGAACGGGGAGCAGCCCAGAGUCUGAAUCAGCUUGUGUGUUAGUGGAACGGUCUGGAAAGUCCGACGGUACAGGGUGAUAGUCCCGUACACCAAAAUGCACAGGUUGUGAACUCGAAGAGUAGGGCGGGACACGUGGUAUCCUGUCUGAAUAUGGGGGACCAUCCUCCAAGGCUAAAUACUCCUGACUGACCGAUAGUGAACCAGUACCGUGAGGGAAAGGCGAAAAGAACCCCGGCGAGGGGAGUGAAAAAGAACCUGAAACCGUGUACGUACAAGCAGUGGGAGCACCUUCGGGUGUGACUGCGUACCUUUUGUAUAAUGGGUCAGCGACUUAUAUUCUGUAGCAAGGUUAACCGUAUAGGGGAGCCGCAGGGAAACCGAGUCUUAACUGGGCGUUAAGUUGCAGGGUAUAGACCCGAAACCCGGUGAUCUAGCCAUGGGCAGGUUGAAGGUUGGGUAACACUAACUGGAGGACCGAACCGACUAAUGUUGAAAAAUUAGCGGAUGACUUGUGGCUGGGGGUGAAAGGCCAAUCAAACCGGGAGAUAGCUGGUUCUCCCCGAAAGCUAUUUAGGUAGCGCCUCGUGAACUCAUCUUCGGGGUAGAGCACUGUUUCGGCUAGGGGGUCAUCCCGACUUACCAACCCGAUGCAAACUACGAAUACCGAAGAAUGUUAUCACGGGAGACACACGGCGGGUGCUAACGUCCGUCGUGAAGAGGGAAACAACCCAGACCGCCAGCUAAGGUCCCAAAGUCAUGGUUAAGUGGGAAACGAUGUGGGAAGGCACAGACAGCCAGGAUGUUGGCUUAGAAGCAGCCAUCAUUUAAAGAAAGCGUAAUAGCUCACUGGUCGAGUCGGCCUGCGCGGAAGAUGUAACGGGGCUAAACCAUGCACCGAAGCUGCGGCAGCGACACUAUGUGUUGUUGGGUAGGGGAGCGUUCUGUAAGCCUGCGAAGGUGUGCUGUGAGGCAUGCUGGAGGUAUCAGAAGUGCGAAUGCUGACAUAAGUAACGAUAAAGCGGGUGAAAAGCCCGCUCGCCGGAAGACCAAGGGUUCCUGUCCAACGUUAAUCGGGGCAGGGUGAGUCGACCCCUAAGGCGAGGCCGAAAGGCGUAGUCGAUGGGAAACAGGUUAAUAUUCCUGUACUUGGUGUUACUGCGAAGGGGGGACGGAGAAGGCUAUGUUAGCCGGGCGACGGUUGUCCCGGUUUAAGCAUGUAGGCUGAUUGUCCAGGCAAAUCCGGAUAAUCAAGGCUGAGGUGUGAUGACGAGGCACUACGGUGCUGAAGUAACAAAUGCCCUGCUUCCAGGAAAAGCCUCUAAGCAUCAGGUAACAUUAAAUCGUACCCCAAACCGACACAGGUGGUCAGGUAGAGAAUACCAAGGCGCUUGAGAGAACUCGGGUGAAGGAACUAGGCAAAAUGGUGCCGUAACUUCGGGAGAAGGCACGCUGGUGUGUAGGUGAAGUCCCUGCGGAUGGAGCUGAGACCAGUCGAAGAUACCAGCUGGCUGCAACUGUUUAUUAAAAACACAGCACUGUGCAAACACGAAAGUGGACGUAUACGGUGUGACGCCUGCCCGGUGCCGGAAGGUUAAUUGAUGGGGUUAUCCGUAAGGAGAAGCUCUUGAUCGAAGCCCCGGUAAACGGCGGCCGUAACUAUAACGGUCCUAAGGUAGCGAAAUUCCUUGUCGGGUAAGUUCCGACCUGCACGAAUGGCGUAAUGAUGGCCAGGCUGUCUCCACCCGAGACUCAGUGAAAUUGAACUCGCUGUGAAGAUGCAGUGUACCCGCGGCAAGACGGAAAGACCCCGUGAACCUUUACUAUAGCUUGACACUGAACAUUGAGCCUUGAUGUGUAGGAUAGGUGGGAGGCUUUGAAGCGUGGACGCCAGUCUGCGUGGAGCCAACCUUGAAAUACCACCCUUUAAUGUUUGAUGUUCUAACGUUGGCCCCUGACCGGGGUUGCGGACAGUGUCUGGUGGGUAGUUUGACUGGGGCGGUCUCCUCCCAAAGCGUAACGGAGGAGCACGAAGGUUAGCUAAUCCUGGUCGGACAUCAGGAGGUUAGUGCAAUGGCAUAAGCUAGCUUGACUGCGAGCGUGACGGCGCGAGCAGGUGCGAAAGCAGGUCAUAGUGAUCCGGUGGUUCUGAAUGGAAGGGCCAUCGCUCAACGGAUAAAAGGUACUCCGGGGAUAACAGGCUGAUACCGCCCAAGAGUUCAUAUCGACGGCGGUGUUUGGCACCUCGAUGUCGGCUCAUCACAUCCUGGGGCUGAAGUAGGUCCCAAGGGUAUGGCUGUUCGCCAUUUAAAGUGGUACGCGAGCUGGGUUUAGAACGUCGUGAGACAGUUCGGUCCCUAUCUGCCGUGGGCGCUGGAGAAUUGAGGGGGGCUGCUCCUAGUACGAGAGGACCGGAGUGGACGCAUCACUGGUGUUCGGGUUGUCAUGCCAAUGGCACUGCCCGGUAGCUAAAUGCGGAAGAGAUAAGUGCUGAAAGCAUCUAAGCACGAAACUUGCCCCGAGAUGAGUUCUCCCUGAGACUUUAAGUCUCCUGAAGGAACGUUGAAGACGACGACGUUGAUAGGCCGGGUGUGUAAGCGCAGCGAUGCGUUGAGCUAACCGGUACUAAUGAACCGUGAGGCUUAACCUUACAACGCCGAAG
This 2921-nucleotide ribosomal RNA is filed under the name Klebsiella pneumoniae. Its description in RNAcentral is "bacterial LSU rRNA". It matches the Rfam family "Bacterial large subunit ribosomal RNA". Lineage: Bacteria; Pseudomonadati; Pseudomonadota; Gammaproteobacteria; Enterobacterales; Enterobacteriaceae. The record is from RNAcentral.